This 309-nucleotide unclassified non-coding RNA is filed under the name rhizosphere metagenome. Its description in RNAcentral is "partial ribosomal RNA internal transcribed spacer region". The record is from RNAcentral.
GUAGGUGAACCUGCGGAAGGAUCAUUAACACGAACUUUAUCCAAUAUCAAACCAAACGUGAACUUUUCCCCUCCCUAGUCAAAUUAUUUGUCUAGGCUAACCUUUUUUUUUUAACUUUAUAUACAAUAUAUUUGUAUUGUAUAUAUUGUUUUAAACUCCUAUAACUUUAACUCUAGUUAUGUCGAGGAUUUUUCCUCUUCAAACUACUAACACUAAAAAAUGACCAUUAUCUCUUUAUUGAGUAUUGGACUUUUUUUCGAUAUUACGAAAAAUUAAGAACAACUCUUAACAAUGGAUAUCUUGGUUCUC